AGUUUUCUGCAAUAAUCUCCUGAAGAAGGUGAAGCUGGGGAGAUGCAAAAAGGUGGGAGCCAAGCAUAGCAAAACAAAGCUGAAGAAGGAGUCAUAGAUACAGGGCGGCUCAGUAUGCCUGCUCCCUUCUUGGCCAUGCACUACAAAAACAUGGGGCCAGUCCUGAGUUACAGAAACAAAUUCGACAACUGGAGAGUCAUCUGAGCCUAGGAAGAAAGCGUAAGUAACUGUGCUUUUGCUUUUAUUACUCCAACACUCUCUCCAUCCCCAGCUAUUCUCCCUCAGUCCCUCUUUCCUGUUUUUGACCUCCUCUGCCCACUCUUGCCCCUCCUUUGGCUCUGCAGUUAUCCUCUGCAGGCCUCCUGAUUGAGAUCAGAGAACAGGGGUAAGAGGCUAAUGAAGGAUUGGAGAGAAUGGGGCAGGUCUGAGAACACCAAACUGGGACACGAGUUGAUGAAAAUUUGAAGAAAAAAGUUUUUUGAACUGAUUUUCCUCUUAAAAAAAAAAAUGUUCCUAUCACUUCCUCCAUUUUCACCUUCUUUUCUCUUUCUCUGUGCCUCACUCUCUCUUUGCCUCUACUUCCAAAUCCUUGCUUUUCCUUGCUAAUCCCCACAAGUUCUACGACUGGGUAACUCAGCAGAUGCCCUUGAGUCAGCCAAACGAGCUGUGCACUUAUCAGAUGUUGUCCUGAGAUUCUGCAUCACUGUUAGUCACCUCAAUCGAGCUUUGUACUUCGCCUGUGACAAUGUCCUGUGGGCUGGAAAAUCUGGACUAGCUCCCCGUGUGGAUCAGGAGAAGUGGGCCCAGCGUUCAUUCAGGUUUGAUAUCCUUUUAUCCUACAAGACCUUUUGUAUUCCCUGUACUGCCUGCCUUGCCUUUUGUGAAAGAUCUUUCAGGGUCUUCCUAGAAUAUACACGUCUUAAUCACUUGGCAUCCGGUCUUCAUUUAGAUUUUAAACUAUCAGAGGAUAGUGAAUGGAGGCAGAUGGAAGGCAGAUUUUUCCUCCAUGAUGAUGCCUAAGAUACUAUAUUGAUUUCAUUGUGCUUCUGUCUAUUCCACAGAUUAUGUCUUUCAGUGCGUGCUCAUUCAUUCAUUCUAAAAAUAUUUAGGAGGUGCUUCCUAUGGGCUAAGGAAUAAAGCAAAGAGGCAAAUACAUAUGGUUCCCACUCUCUUUAUGCUCCUAGUCUAGUGGGGGGAGCCAUAUUAAGACAAAUACCAAACCCAAUAUUUGUGGAAGUGUACAGAGUGUUAUGAGAUAUAUAACAAGGGGGGCCGAUUUCAAUUGAAAGGCUAAGGAAGAACUCUUUGAGAGAGUAAUGUUUUAGUUUAGACUUGAAGUCUGAGUACAAGUUAGACAAAGCCAACAGUGGCAGAGAAGACCUUCUCAAACAGAAAAUAGCAUAUUCUAAGGCCUUAAACCAGGACAUAUUUUGUGGAAUUAGAGAAAUAGAAAGGAAGCCAGCAUGAUGAACAGUAUCAAGUGAAGGGCGUACGUUUCAGCUGGAGAUGUAUGCAGGGGCCAGAUCAUUCGUGCAAGGCCUCUUAGGCAAGGGUAGGAUUCUUUGGUUUCGUUUUGUUUAAAUUUUAUCCCAAGUACGAUGGGUUCCGAACAGGGAUGUGACAUGAUUCAAAUUGUGUUUAAAGAAGAUCUGUCUUGCUGCAAUGUGGAAGGUGGAUUGCGGUAGGGCAGAAGAGGAGAUGUCCUAAUAUGGCCAAGAGAUGAUGUUGGCUUGGACUAAGGAGCUGGCGGGUAAUGAAGGUGGAGAGAAAUAUGAUUUGGGAUUAAAAUUAUCUGUAUACACAUCAUUUGUAUUUGUUUUUAUUUUUGUUUCCUGUGAUUCUGUUUCUUGUGUUAUAUAAUGUUAGCAUCUUUCCAUCUCCAUUUACGUCUUGCUUUUCUCCUCAUGUUUAUCAGUGAUUUACAGCUAUUACAUGACUUACAGUGUAUGAAGGAUGGGAGUGAAGGCAUGGCUGGACUGUUAUGGAAAAGCAACUCCCUAGAAGAGUUUAUAUGCCAUGUUUAUGCAUUUCAUUCAACAAAUAUUUAUGGAGCUCUUACUAUGUGCCAGGCACUAGUCUAGACAAGGGUACAAGGGUAAAGAUAAAAGGAGUCCCUGCUCCAGUGGAGCUUACAUGGUAAUGGGAGGAGACAAACAUAAAGAGACAAUAAAUAAAAAUAUGAGUAGUUAAGUGCUGUGCAGGAAAUUAAAUUAUGGUCGUGUGGUAGAGAGUAAAAGGCUCGCUACCUUAGAAUGAGGAACUCUCUGAAAAGGUGCCAUUUAAGCUCAGGCCUGAAGAGCAAGAAGCACUAGCCAUGUGAAGAUUUUGGAGGGAGAAUAUUCCGGGUGGAUGGAUGAGGCAGUAUAAGGGUCCUAAAACAGGAACAAGCUUGAUGAGAUCAAAAGAUAGAAAGAAACUAAUAUGGUUGGAGCAUAGUGAUUGAGGGCAAGAAACAUUCAAGAUGUUGUUCAAGAGGCAGGGUCAGACGUUGAGUUCUGAAAGCUUGCCUAAGGUGUCUAGAGUUCAUCUUAAAUGGGGCAGGAAGGAAACCAUGGAAAGUUUUAAGAAGGGGAGUGAUGAAAUUAGAUUGUUGGGGGCAGGGGGCAAGAGUGGCCAUGGAGAGACCAGUUAAAUGAGUAAAGUAGUAGUUCAAGCAAGAGGUGCCGAUGGUUGAGACUGUGCUGGUAGCGUGUAAGGGAGAAAGAUGGGGUUGGAUUCAGGAUGUGUUUUAGAGGUAGGGCAAUUAUAUUGAGCAUAGACCAGUGUUGUCAUAGUGGAUUAAAAAUCAAAAACAGACUGUUCGGUGUUUGUUUUCUAAGUAAUCUCUAUGCCCAACAUAGGGCUGAAACUCACGACCCCAAGAUCAAGAGUUGUAUGCUCUACUGACUGAGCCAGCCAGGUGCCCCAGACAUAGACUGUUCUUAAGGAAUUGAUAAUCUAACACGUUUAGCAAGUUGCUGAACACCUCUGGGCCUCCGUUUUUGUUUUUGUUUUGUUUGUUUUUUUUAACAAAAGGAUGGGAUUUAAAAGAUCUAUAAUGUGUCUGAGUUUCUGAAACAACUGAAGCUCAUUCUCUCAAAACGUUUGCAUUAUUAUAGUUCACGUCAAAUGUGUGUGUGCUAAUGGCUUGCCAAGUGGACAAGUGAGAUUUGAGGUUGAACUUGGAUGGUUUGAUGAUGCUCAUGAUGUUAAGCCAGGAUCUUAAGGUACGCAUAAACGCUGAUUAGUUACAGAAAGCUGGGAAGACAUUCUUAAUAGUGGCUAAUAGCACUUACUGCUGGUGUCCCAAUGUAUAAUCCCUUUGCAUUACGGGGGAAAAAAAUGUUUACGUGUUCUAUUUGUUGGGCUUAGUGGCUACUGUCUGCCCUUACUGACUCUUCUUGCCUGUGUAUCCCAGGUACUAUCUGUUUUCCCUCAUCAUGAACUUGAGCCGUGAUGCCUAUGAGAUUCGCCUACUGAUGGAACAAGAGUCUUCAGCUUGUAGCCGGCGACUGAAGGGGUCUGGAGGAGGAGCCCCAGGAGGAAUUGAAAAUGCAGGAC
RNA transcript from Prionailurus viverrinus (fishing cat), 3540 nucleotides. It is a transcript of the gene named peroxisomal biogenesis factor 11 beta, with no coding region annotated. NCBI's taxonomy places the organism in Eukaryota, Metazoa, Chordata, Mammalia, Carnivora, Felidae. The transcript has 2 exons. The record is from RefSeq and is a predicted model, not a curated record.